UCGACAAUAUGAAUCCCACUUCUUUCUUUAAACUCAUCCAUAUCAUCAUCAUACCAAAAUAAAAUAAAAGAAAAUAUCUUACAGCCUCAUUGCUCGUAAAUGGAACAGAGGGAGUAGCAAGAAUUCCACCAAAAGUGUGGCUUUACAUAUUAAAAAUAAUUUCUUUUGAGUAAUCAUCGACGCUACAGAAUAAGAGAGAGAGAGGGUCAAAACCACCCACGGAAUCUCCCCAGAGCUCUCUGUUUUCACCAAGUCCUAAAAUAAAACUAAUGCGUUUCACCAAGUGUUUGAGAACCUAAAACUAUUGAAUGUUGGAAUGGCUAGCGAGUAUUCAUAUAUCUGACUGUAAAAUGAGGUUAUGAGCUCAAAUAUUUCCUCUGUAGUCUAAAACUGUUGAAUGUUGGAAUGGCUAGCGAGUAUUCAUAUAUCUGACUGUAAAAUGAGGUUAUGAGCUCAAAUUUUUCCUCUGUAAUCAAGGAGCAGAAGGAAAAACAAAAACCAAAAUAAUGGGUUAGGCUGAGAAUCGCCUUCUCUCAGAAAAGUCAAAAGGCUUUGGAAAAACUGCCAUGGAUGCAAGCAACAGUUAGCCUUAUGAGACAGAUUAAGAAGCACCAAAAGGGUUCUUUUCCCCCAAUAUCCCACAGACCCAUCUGAGCUGUCACGCCAAGACACAGUGUUAUCAGCUCCAUAGAA
RNAcentral lists this long non-coding RNA (693 nucleotides) under Nicotiana benthamiana. RNAcentral's name for it is "long non-coding RNA (NBEN_LNC018020)". The record is from RNAcentral. Lineage: Eukaryota; Viridiplantae; Streptophyta; Magnoliopsida; Solanales; Solanaceae.